Non-coding RNA from Bos taurus (domestic cattle), 72 nucleotides. NCBI's taxonomy places the organism in Eukaryota, Metazoa, Chordata, Mammalia, Artiodactyla, Bovidae. The record is from Rfam.
UCCCUGGUGGCUCAGAGGUUAAAGCGUCUGCCUGCAAUGCGGGAGACCUGGGUUCGAUCCCUGGGUUGGGAA